UGGGGAAUUUUGGACAAUGGGCAAAAGCCUGAUCCAGCAAUGCCGCGUGUGUGAAGAAGGCCUUCGGGUUGUAAAGCACUUUUGUCCGGAAAGAAAUCCUUGGCUCUAAUACAGCCGGGGGAUGACGGUACCGGAAGAAUAAGCACCGGCUAACUACGUGCCAGCAGCCGCGGUAAUACGUAGGGUGCAAGCGUUAAUCGGAAUUACUGGGCGUAAAGCGUGCGCAGGCGGUUUGCUAAGACCGAUGUGAAAUCCCCGGGCUCAACCUGGGAACUGCAUUGGUGACUGGCAGGCUAGAGUAUGGCAGAGGGGGGUAGAAUUCCACGUGUAGCAGUGAAAUGCGUAGAGAUGUGGAGGAAUACCGAUGGCGAAGGCAGCCCCCUGGGCCAAUACUGACGCUCAUGCACGAAAGCGUGGGGAGCAAACAGGAUUAGAUACCCUGGUAGUCCACGCCCUAAACGAUGUCAACUAGUUGUUGGGGAUUCAUUUCCUUAGUAACGUAGCUAACGCGUGAAGUUGACCGCCUGGGGAGUACGGUCGCAAGAUUAAAACUUAAAGGAAUUGAC
RNAcentral lists this ribosomal RNA (566 nucleotides) under uncultured bacterium. Its description in RNAcentral is "partial 16S ribosomal RNA". It matches the Rfam family "Bacterial small subunit ribosomal RNA", at positions 355 to 914 of the family's 1533-position model. The record is from RNAcentral.